Molecule: ribosomal RNA, 521 nt
Filed under: Candida albicans
Lineage: Eukaryota; Fungi; Ascomycota; Pichiomycetes; Serinales; Debaryomycetaceae
Description: LSU rRNA
Rfam family: Eukaryotic large subunit ribosomal RNA
Source: RNAcentral
UGCCUCAGUAGCGGCGAGUGAGGCGGCAAAAGCUCAAAUUUGAAAUCUGGCGUCUUUGGCGUCCGAGUUGUAAUUUGAAGAAGGUAUCUUUGGGCCCGGCUCUUGUCUAUGUUCCUUGGAACAGGACGUCACAGAGGGUGAGAAUCCCGUGCGAUGAGAUGACCCGGGUCUGUGUAAAGUUCCUUCGACGAGUCGAGUUGUUUGGGAAUGCAGCUCUAAGUGGGUGGUAAAUUCCAUCUAAAGCUAAAUAUUGGCGAGAGACCGAUAGCGAACAAGUACAGUGAUGGAAAGAUGAAAAGAACUUUGAAAAGAGAGUGAAAAAGUACGUGAAAUUGUUGAAAGGGAAGGGCUUGAGAUCAGACUUGGUAUUUUGCAUGCUGCUCUCUCGGGGGCGGCCGCUGCGGUUUACCGGGCCAGCAUCGGUUUGGAGCGGCAGGAUAAUGGCGGAGGAAUGUGGCACGGCUUCUGCUGUGUGUUAUAGCCUCUGACGAUGCUGCCAGCCUAGACCGAGGACUGCGGUU